Molecule: long non-coding RNA, 216 nt
Filed under: Mytilus galloprovincialis (Mediterranean mussel)
Lineage: Eukaryota; Metazoa; Mollusca; Bivalvia; Mytilida; Mytilidae
Source: RNAcentral
CCUUCAUGAGGAUGUGGAUGUGGGUUUACAGAACAGAGAAUAAUGGGGGGAAUUUUAAAGAAUAGAGAAAAAUGGACCAAUAACAAAGAAUGCAGAAAAAUGAGUUGCUAAAAUAUAAAGAUUAGAGAAUAAUGGGAAACAAGUAUAAAGAAUAGAGAAAAUGGCAAAACUUUUAAAGAAUACAGAUAUGAACCACCCCCUCCUCCCCAAUCCAGA